UAGCAGAGAAAACAAGAGUAUUAUCUUAUUUAAACCAUAGUCUUAAGAUUAAACAUAAACUGGUAGAAGUAGAACCAAUACCAAUUACAGCACAACCCUAGAACUAGACCCACAGUAAGCAAGCAGUAACUGAUAGAUUUAAAUUAAAAACAAAGCCAAAACGGCGACUUAAAUAUAGAUAAACUAGAUCAUCAUCAACGUCCUCAGAUUUAGCAGAGUUGACCACAGUCAGCAAUCACAACAGGCUUGGAGCACCUACCAGAUCCAGAUCCAACAGCCUCAGCCUUCUUAAUCACAUCAUAGCCUUCAACAACUUGACCGAACACAACAUGCUUGCCAUCGAGCCACUCAGUCUUAGCGGUGCAGAUGAAGAACUGAGAACCGUUGGUUCCAGGUCCAGCAUUAGCCAUGGAGAGGAUUCCAGGACCGGUGUGCUUCCUUUUGAAGUUCUCGUCAGCGAAUUUGGCGCCGUAGAUUGAUUCACCUCCGGUACCGUUUCCGGCGGUGAAAUCACCUCCUUGACACAUGAACCCUGGGAUCACACGGUGGAAGGUUGAACCUUUGUAGUGCAAAGGCUUACCCAUCCUUCCGACGCCUUUCUCGCCGGUGCAGAGAGCACGGAAGUUCUCCGCCGUCUUGGGUACGGUGUCGGCAUAGAGCUCCAUCACCACACGGCCAGCUGGUGUGCCGCCGAUGGUAAGGUCAAAGAACACCUUUGGGUUU
Molecule: long non-coding RNA, 723 nt
Filed under: Nicotiana benthamiana
Lineage: Eukaryota; Viridiplantae; Streptophyta; Magnoliopsida; Solanales; Solanaceae
Description: long non-coding RNA (NBEN_LNC038430)
Source: RNAcentral